Molecule: ribosomal RNA, 18 nt
Filed under: Boeremia lilacis
Lineage: Eukaryota; Fungi; Ascomycota; Dothideomycetes; Pleosporales; Didymellaceae
Also listed under: 1 other name
Description: partial 28S ribosomal RNA
Source: RNAcentral
AACUUAAGCAUAUCAUAA